UCAAGAGUAGCGAACGGGUGAGUAACGCGUGGGUAACCUACCUAUCAGCGGGGGAUAACUAUUGGAAACGAUAGCUAAUACCGCAUAACAAUGUUGGAUGCAUAUUCGACAUUUGAAAGUACCAAAUGGUACACUGAGAGAUGGACCCGCGUUGUAUUAGCUAGUUGGUAGUGUAAUGGACUACCAAGGCGAUGAUACAUAGCCGACCUGAGAGGGUGAUCGGCCACAUUGGGACUGAGACACGGCCCAAACUCCUACGGGAGGCAGCAGUAGGGAAUCUUCGGCAAUGGACGAAAGUCUGACCGAGCAACGCCGCGUGAGUGAAGAAGGUUUUCGGAUCGUAAAACUCUGUUGUUAGAGAAGAACGUUGCAUAGAGUGGAAAAUUAUGCAAGUGACGGUAUCUAACCAGAAAGGGACGGCUAACUACGUGCCAGCAGCCGCGGUAAUACGUAGGUCCCGAGCGUUGUCCGGAUUUAUUGGGCGUAAAGCGAGCGCAGGUGGUUUAAUAAGUCUGAUGUAAAAGGCAGUGGCUCAACCAUUGUGUGCAUUGGAAACUGUUAGACUUGAGUGCAGUAGAGGAGAGUGGAAUUCCAUGUGUAGCGGUGAAAUGCGUAGAUAUAUGGAGGAACACCGGUGGCGAAAGCGGCUCUCUGGACUGUCACUGACACUGAGGCUCGAAAGCGUGGGUAGCAAACAGGAUUAGAUACCCUGGUAGUCCACGCCGUAAACGAUGAGUGCUAGUUGUUUGGGGCUAUCCAGCCCUAAGUGACGCAGCAAACGCAUUAAGCACUCCGCCUGGGGAGUACGACCGCAAGGUUGAAACUCAAAGGAAUUGACGGGGGCCCGCACAAGCGGUGGAGCAUGUGGUUUAAUUCGAAGCAACGCGAAGAACCUUACCAGGUCUUGACAUACUCGUGCUAUUCCUAGAGAUAGGAAGUUCCUUCGGACACGGAUACCAG
RNAcentral lists this ribosomal RNA (960 nucleotides) under Pseudolactococcus raffinolactis. RNAcentral describes it as "bacterial SSU rRNA". It matches the Rfam family "Bacterial small subunit ribosomal RNA", at positions 89 to 1038 of the family's 1533-position model. Lineage: Bacteria; Bacillati; Bacillota; Bacilli; Lactobacillales; Streptococcaceae. The record is from RNAcentral.